GCAAAUUUACAACAUCAUCUUCAAAAACGAAACCACAUUGAGCAAAGAAAAGAGAACUCCUUCACCAUCGCUAAACCAUCUUCCUCACCAACUACAGUAAUUUACGGCAAACUACGAGCAAGGAAAUUAAAACAUCAUCUUCAAAAACGAAACCACAUUGAGCAAAGAAAGGAGAAUUUCUUCACCAUUGCUAUACCAUCUUCCUCACCAACAACAAUGAAUGGAAUUGUUGGUGUACACAUACCUAACAUGGAUUGAGAGAUAAACA
Long non-coding RNA from Gordionus sp. m RMFG-2023, 268 nucleotides. RefSeq lists it as uncharacterized. Lineage: Eukaryota; Metazoa; Nematomorpha; Gordioida; Chordodea; Parachordodidae. The record is from RefSeq and is a predicted model, not a curated record. The transcript is spliced from 3 exons.